This 72-nucleotide transfer RNA is filed under the name Camelus bactrianus (Bactrian camel). It matches the Rfam family "tRNA". From Rfam's summary of the family: Transfer RNA (tRNA) molecules are approximately 80 nucleotides in length. Their secondary structure includes four short double-helical elements and three loops (D, anti-codon, and T loops). Further hydrogen bonds mediate the characteristic L-shaped molecular structure. tRNAs have two regions of fundamental functional importance: the anti-codon, which is responsible for specific mRNA codon recognition, and the 3' end, to which the tRNAs corresponding amino acid is attached (by aminoacyl-tRNA synthetases). tRNAs cope with the degeneracy of the genetic code in two manners: having more than one tRNA (with a specific anti-codon) for a particular amino acid; and 'wobble' base-pairing, i.e. permitting non-standard base-pairing at the 3rd anti-codon position. Lineage: Eukaryota; Metazoa; Chordata; Mammalia; Artiodactyla; Camelidae. RNAcentral also lists the same sequence under 2 other names. The record is from Rfam by way of RNAcentral.
GCGGGUAUAGCUCAGUGAUAGAGCGUGUGCCGAGCAUGCGUGAGGUCCUGGGUUCAAGCCUCAGUACCUCCA